Molecule: long non-coding RNA, 1017 nt
Filed under: Elaeis guineensis (African oil palm)
Lineage: Eukaryota; Viridiplantae; Streptophyta; Magnoliopsida; Arecales; Arecaceae
Description: long non-coding RNA (EGUI_LNC074604)
Source: RNAcentral
CAUGAUUAAAUAAUUUUGUCACUGUCUUACCAUGUAAUUGAUCAAAAGAUCAACUUAUCAGCUGAGUGAUAUUAAAGCAUAAUUUUCAUGUGACUGAGUUGCAUGCACUCCACAACAUGCUGACAUUUCUACUACCUCUAAAGCAAGAUUUAAGUAAAUAAACAGUUUCCCAUAUUCUACCAUACAUAAAAGUAACAUUAAUGGGUAAAACUUGUCAGGGUGCUGACUGGUCUGCAACAAAACAUUCAUGUUUUCACCCUGAUAAAGCACAUGCAAAAAUUACUCAAAUAUCUUCAUACCUACUAAACAGAUAGGAGAGAAAGCUCUACACCCUCAAAAUGCCCGAAAAAUCCUAAAAAAUCAUAGAAGAAUUGAGCAUGCUAUGUCAUCAAUUUCUUCUUAACAGAUUUCUUAUUCAAACGAACCUUCUUUCCACAUUUCUAUCUAAAUGUACUUUCUUAAAAAGGGUCGGGAAACAUUUAGUGAUAACAAGAUAAGGGAUGUGAUAUCCAAGGAAGAUCAUCUAUCAUAUCCACAACUUCAUAAAAGUUAUUCUCACCGCUGCCAUCCAUCCCCCAUGAAAGAACCCCUGCCCCAGCCCCCACCCCUCCCUGACUUCUCCCCCACCCUGCUCCAGUGCUCUUCCAGCAUGCCCAACCACCCGGCAUCUCUGAUGAUAUCUCCCCUCCGCCACCCCCAUCAGUGACUCCUCUCCUGCCCCGCUGCCCUGUUCCAACCCCAGAGUCCAAGGCGAGGGACUACUAAAUCUCUGGCACAAAGGAAAACAUACCCCUACCAACGCUCAACCUUAGCCAACCAACUUGAGGUGACCUGACUGACACAAGAAAGAAGAGAAAUUAAGGAAAAGAAGAUCAAAACCCUGACCACCUUCCUUUGCCAUUGGUCACAAGCAACAACAUUCAUCACGAUGAACCCCUGCAACGUUAUCAAAGAAGGUGGGCGUCGAGCCUCGGCCAUCAAAGCUGAUAAAGAAGUCGGAGCGGGGCAGCUCAGUGC